Molecule: ribosomal RNA, 497 nt
Filed under: uncultured bacterium
Lineage: Bacteria
Description: partial 16S ribosomal RNA
Rfam family: Bacterial small subunit ribosomal RNA
Source: RNAcentral
GAUGAACGCUGGCGGCGUGCCUAAUACAUGCAAGUCGAGCGAACAGACGAGGGGCUUGCUCCUCUGACGUUAGCGGCGGACGGGUGGGUAACACGUGGAUAACCUACCUAUAAGACUGGGAUAACUUCGGGAAACCGGAGCUAAUACCGGAUAAUAUAUUGAACCGCAUGGUUCAAUAGUGAAAGACGGUUUUGCUGUCACUUAUAGAUGGAUCCGCGCCGCAUUAGCUAGUUGGUAAGGUAACGGCUUACCAAGGCAACGAUGCGUAGCCGACCUGAGAGGGUGAUCGGCCACACUGGAACUGAGACACGGUCCAGCCGCCUACGGGAGGCAGCAGUAGGGAAUCGUCCGCAAUGGGCGAAAGCCUGACGGAGCAACGCCGCGUGAGUGAUGAAGGUCUUCGGAUCGUAAAACUCUGUUAUUAGGGAAGAACAAAUGUGUAAGUAACUAUGCACGUCUUGACGGUACCUAAUCAGAAAGCCACGGCUAACUACGUG